This 343-nucleotide RNase P RNA is filed under the name human gut metagenome. Its description in RNAcentral is "Bacterial RNase P class A". It matches the Rfam family "Bacterial RNase P class A". Rfam says of the family: Ribonuclease P (RNase P) is a ubiquitous endoribonuclease, found in archaea, bacteria and eukarya as well as chloroplasts and mitochondria. Its best characterised activity is the generation of mature 5'-ends of tRNAs by cleaving the 5'-leader elements of precursor-tRNAs. The record is from RNAcentral. RNAcentral also lists the same sequence under 1 other name.
GUCGCUUGCUGCUUGUUGGCAAGAGGAAAGUCCGGGCAACACAGAGUGCCAUAUUUCCUAACGGGAAGCUGUCAGUGAUGGCAGAGCAGUGUGACAGAAAACAACCGCCAUCAGCUUGUUGCGGAUGGUAAGGGUGAAAAGGUGGGGUAAGAGCCUACCGGGCGCAAUGGUGACAUCGCGUGCCGCACACCUUAUGGGUUGCAAGGCCAAGUACACCGGCAUCUAAGGGUUACUCGUCCAUUGUCGGGGGGUAGGCUGCUUGAGCCUUAUGGCGACAUAAGGAUUAGAUAAAUGACAGGAGGCGGACUUGUCCGUUACAUAACCCGGCUUAUAGCUGUGCUGU